RNAcentral lists this non-coding RNA (56 nucleotides) under unclassified sequences. RNAcentral's name for it is "terC RNA". It matches the Rfam family "terC RNA". The record is from RNAcentral.
UCAUCGAGCCGGGCCCUCUGGCAGGCAAGGCGUUGCCUGCGAUGUCGGUCGCAAUG